RNAcentral lists this unclassified non-coding RNA (253 nucleotides) under uncultured Gammaproteobacteria bacterium. RNAcentral describes it as "contains 16S-23S intergenic spacer region". It matches the Rfam family "Bacterial small subunit ribosomal RNA", at positions 524 to 776 of the family's 1533-position model. Lineage: Bacteria; Pseudomonadati; Pseudomonadota; Gammaproteobacteria. The record is from RNAcentral.
UACAGAGGGUGCAAGCGUUAAUCGGAAUUAUUGGGCGUAAAGCGCAUGUAGGUGGAAGAAUAAGUUUGAUGUGAAAGCCCUGGGCUUAACCUGGGAAUGGCGUUGAAGACUGUUUUUCUAGAGUUUGAUAGAGGGUCGUGGAAUUUCCGGUGUAGCGGUGAAAUGCGUAGAGAUCGGAAAGAACACCAGUGGCGAAGGCGGCGACCUGGGUCUAAACUGACACUGAGGUGCGAAAGCGUGGGGAGCAAACAGG